CCCUUAGAUGUUCUGGGCCGCACGCGCGCUACACUGAUGCAUUCAACGAGUCUAAAACCUGCUCUGAUAGGGGUGGGUAAUCUUUUGAAUGUGCAUCGUGAUUGGGAUAGAUGAUUGCAAUUUUUCAUCUUCAACGAGGAAUGCCUAGUAAACGCAAGUCAUCAGCUUGCAUUGAUUACGUCCCUGCCCUUUGUACACACCGCCCGUCGCUCCUACCGAUUGAAUGAUCCGAUGAAUAUCAUGGAUUGAGGAUGCAAGCAGGUUCGCCUGUCGUCAUCUUCGAGAAGUGAAGUAAAUCUUAUCAUUUAGAGGAAGGAGAAGUCGUAACA
RNAcentral lists this ribosomal RNA (329 nucleotides) under uncultured eukaryote. RNAcentral's name for it is "partial 18S ribosomal RNA". It matches the Rfam family "Eukaryotic small subunit ribosomal RNA", at positions 1470 to 1796 of the family's 1831-position model. The record is from RNAcentral.